UCGAUUGUUGCGCUUUUCUCACUCUUGAACACACAAAGUAAAUCUAGAUCUAGAUUUUCCGGUUAACAUUGAUUUUAAUCGCUGGGUUGGGGCUUACAAAGGGGAGGCAGUGGUGAGCUUCUUUUCUCUCCGGCGGCGGUGAGGUGUGGAACUCCCGUUGGCGUUGCGGUUGUGGCGGUUUCACGACGAUCUUGAGGGGUUUCGCCAUCGGUUUUCUCUGUUUGAGGACGUCAAAAGAAUCGAUUGAAGCCUCUCUUUUGGCUCACCUGUUCGUGGAUUAGCUGCAACUUGCGGUGGAAGUCGUCAGCGGGAUGGAGGGUUGCGUCGCUUGUCUUGGUGGUUUACGGCGGAUUCAAUGAAUCUGUGAUGGCUGCUCGCGGAUUUAGGGCUGUUGAAGGAAGGAUUGAGUCACUGUCCCUCUCAGCUGCCGCAUUUAGUUUCCACCGGACCGGAUUUGAGGAUUGUUUGUCUCGGAGAAGGUUUCGUUGGUGGUCGUCCUUGUUGUUUUUGGUUUGCUAGGUAGGGGAAUCAAAGAUGGGGUACUGGUCUGUCGGAGAUUGGACUUAUUCCGGGAAGUUUGGUGCGGGUUCUGGUUUGUUGGCGGCAACGAUUCGGCGACGGAACCGAAUACUCCGGCAAGGAGCUUGUUAAUGCCGUUGCACUCGACCUUGUAUUCGUCGGUAUUGGUUGGUCGUAAUAUCUGCUUCCAGCCACCGCCAGGUUAAGAUCAAUUCCGUCGAUGAGUCUCCGAUUUGCUUUUUCCUUUUUGUAGCUGCUGAAAUUUUGUAAGGCCUCGGCCUAGAAAUCCAUUUUGGGAUGUGAAUUAAACUUUUUAGUAUCAAAAAAAUAAUGUAAAGGUCAAAUGCAUGUAUAGUAAUGCAAAAAAAUGAAAUCACAUCUUCGACAAUUUUGAGAAUUUAGUUCAUGGAGAAAAUGAGAAAGACCAAUAUUUUUACAUGGAUUGAUUGAAACACUUUAUAAACCACAAAUAUAAAAGUA
This 999-nucleotide long non-coding RNA is filed under the name Arabidopsis lyrata. RNAcentral describes it as "long non-coding RNA (ALYR_LNC002103)". The record is from RNAcentral. Lineage: Eukaryota; Viridiplantae; Streptophyta; Magnoliopsida; Brassicales; Brassicaceae.